CAGUCGCCGCGGUAAUACGGAGGGUGCAAGCGUUAAUCGGAAUUACUGGGCGUAAAGCGCACGCAGGCGGUUUGUUAAGUCAGAUGUGAAAUCCCCGAGCUUAACUUGGGAACUGCAUUUGAAACUGGCAAGCUAGAGUCUUGUAGAGGGGGGUAGAAUUCCAGGUGUAGCGGUGAAAUGCGUAGAGAUCUGGAGGAAUACCGGUGGCGAAGGCGGCCCCCUGGACAAAGACUGACGCUCAGGUGCGAAAGCGUGGGGAGCAAACAGGAUUAGAUACCCGAGUAGUCCCUGUCUCUUAUAC
This 301-nucleotide ribosomal RNA is filed under the name uncultured bacterium. RNAcentral describes it as "partial 16S ribosomal RNA". It matches the Rfam family "Bacterial small subunit ribosomal RNA", at positions 509 to 807 of the family's 1533-position model. The record is from RNAcentral.